AUUAUUCUUUCAACUCAGACAAUAUUUCAGGAUAUGGAGAUCGAUAUUUUACUGCAAAGGUCAGAAAAUCUUCCCUCGAUACUUAAUUUUAAGUUCUUUGUCCAUGGCCGUAUGGUACAUGGAUGACGGAUGCUGGACUGGCAAGAAAUUUGUCAUUUCAACAGAAAGUUUUCGGGGAAAGUAUCUGAAAUAUUUGCAGGAUGCGUUAAAGAAACAAUUCGGUUUGGAAACCAACGUUGGCAAAAAUGGGAAAUUGACGAUACUCAAGGUAUCUCAUUCCGUUUUUAUCGAUUUGAUUUCACCUCAUAUUGAAUCGAGUAUGAGGUAUAAGCUACCAAACCCCGUAACGACUUUUCCGGUAACGAUACCGGGAAGAGUUUGCGGUCACACGCAAGCUAACACGCUGACCCCAGAAAAACUGGGUGAUGGUAUAGUCUAGCUUUAAAGUAAUUUAAAGGUUAAUGGAACUGUUCCCUUCAGUGGGGUAACGAACGCAACCCCUGUUGCCUGUUACAAGUGUCAGGCGAGACCGCCCCCACCUACGCUCCUCUCCUCCUACGCUCGCUUCGCGAGCUUCGGAGGACAAGGCGGAGCUUCGGUGGGCACGGCAGCUCUUAUAUUAGGGCUGCUUGCCCGCCGUAGCUUCCCGCAGGGAAGCGAAGGUGGGGGAGGAAGGUGGGGAUGACGCCAAGUCAGCAUGGCCCUUUGACACCCUGGGCUACACACGUGUUACAAUCGCGGCUACAACGGGACGCAAUGCCGUAAGGCGGAGCAAACCCUUAGAAAAGCCGCGCCAGUUCGGAUUGAGGUCUGCAACUCGACCUCAUGAAGCCGGAAUCGCUAGUAAUCGCGGGUCAGCUAUACCGCGGUGAAUACGUUCUCAAGUCUUGUACUCACCGCCCGUCAACCCAAGGGAGUCGGUGGUGCCCGAAAUCUCGCCUCGUGCGGGCAUAAGGCAAAAUCGAUGACAGGGGGUAAGUCGUAACAAGGCACGGGUAGCGGAAGCUGCUCGUGGAAUAUUUCAAAG
RNAcentral lists this ribosomal RNA (1027 nucleotides) under Candidatus Yanofskyibacteriota bacterium. RNAcentral describes it as "bacterial SSU rRNA". It matches the Rfam family "Bacterial small subunit ribosomal RNA", at positions 945 to 1533 of the family's 1533-position model. The record is from RNAcentral. Lineage: Bacteria; Candidatus Yanofskyibacteriota.